AGAACGAACGCUGGCGGCAUGCCUAAUACAUGCAAGUCGAACGAACUCUUCGGAGUUAGUGGCGCACGGGUGCGUAACGCGUGGGAAUCUGCCCCUUGGUUCGGAAUAACAGUUGGAAACGACUGCUAAUACCGGAUGAUGACGAAAGUCCAAAGAUUUAUCGCCAAGGGAUGAGCCCGCGUAGGAUUAGCUAGUUGGUGAGGUAAAGGCUCACCAAGGCGACGAUCCUUAGCUGGUCUGAGAGGAUGAUCAGCCACAUUGGAACUGAGACACGGUCCAGACUCCUACGGGAGGCAGCAGUGGGGAAUAUUGGACAAUGGGCGCAAGCCUGAUCCAGCCAUACCGCGU
This 348-nucleotide ribosomal RNA is filed under the name uncultured soil bacterium. Its description in RNAcentral is "bacterial SSU rRNA". It matches the Rfam family "Bacterial small subunit ribosomal RNA", at positions 26 to 402 of the family's 1533-position model. The record is from RNAcentral.